RNAcentral lists this ribosomal RNA (1451 nucleotides) under uncultured organism. RNAcentral describes it as "SSU rRNA". It matches the Rfam family "Bacterial small subunit ribosomal RNA". The record is from RNAcentral.
AUGAACGCUAGCUACAGGCUUAACACAUGCAAGUCGAGGGGCAGCAUUUUAGUUUGCUUGCAAACUAAAGAUGGCGACCGGCGCACGGGUGAGUAACACGUAUCCAACCUGCCGAUAACUCGGGGAUAGCCUUUCGAAAGAAAGAUUAAUAUCCGAUAGUAUAUUAAAACCGCAUGGUUUUACUAUUAAAGAAUUUCGGUUAUCGAUGGGGAUGCGUUCCAUUAGUUUGUUGGCGGGGUAACGGCCCACCAAGACUACGAUGGAUAGGGGUUCUGAGAGGAAGGUCCCCCACAUUGGAACUGAGACACGGUCCAAACUCCUACGGGAGGCAGCAGUGAGGAAUAUUGGUCAAUGGACGAGAGUCUGAACCAGCCAAGUAGCGUGAAGGAUGACUGCCCUAUGGGUUGUAAACUUCUUUUAUAUGGGAAUAAAGUAUUCCACGUGUGGGAUUUUGUAUGUACCAUAUGAAUAAGGAUCGGCUAACUCCGUGCCAGCAGCCGCGGUAAUACGGAGGAUCCGAGCGUUAUCCGGAUUUAUUGGGUUUAAAGGGAGCGUAGGUGGAUUGUUAAGUCAGUUGUGAAAGUUUGCGGCUCAACCGUAAAAUUGCAGUUGAAACUGGCAGUCUUGAGUACAGUAGAGGUGGGCGGAAUUCGUGGUGUAGCGGUGAAAUGCUUAGAUAUCACGAAGAACUCCGAUUGCGAAGGCAGCUCACUAGACUGCAACUGACACUGAUGCUCGAAAGUGUGGGUAUCAAACAGGAUUAGAUACCCUGGUAGUCCACACAGUAAACGAUGAAUACUCGCUGUUUGCGAUAUACAGUAAGCGGCCAAGCGAAAGCAUUAAGUAUUCCACCUGGGGAGUACGCCGGCAACGGUGAAACUCAAAGGAAUUGACGGGGGCCCGCACAAGCGGAGGAACAUGUGGUUUAAUUCGAUGAUACGCGAGGAACCUUACCCGGGCUUAAAUUGCAUUUGAAUAAUCUGGAAACAGGUUAGCCGCAAGGCAAAUGUGAAGGUGCUGCAUGGUUGUCGUCAGCUCGUGCCGUGAGGUGUCGGCUUAAGUGCCAUAACGAGCGCAACCCUUAUCUUUAGUUACUAACAGGUCAUGCUGAGGACUCUAGAGAGACUGCCGUCGUAAGAUGUGAGGAAGGUGGGGAUGACGUCAAAUCAGCACGGCCCUUACGUCCGGGGCUACACACGUGUUACAAUGGGGGGUACAGAAGGCAGCUACCUGGCGACAGGAUGCUAAUCCCAAAAACCUCUCUCAGUUCGGAUCGAAGUCUGCAACCCGACUUCGUGAAGCUGGAUUCGCUAGUAAUCGCGCAUCAGCCAUGGCGCGGUGAAUACGUUCCCGGGCCUUGUACACACCGCCCGUCAAGCCAUGAAAGCCGGGGGUACCUGAAGUACGUAACCGCAAGGAGCGUCCUAGGGUAAAACUGGUAAUUGGGGCUA